UUCAAAGAGACUGCUCUGAGGUCCCUGGGGAAACAGUUUUGGGUGGUAGUUUUACAUUUCAAAGGGCAGAGAAAGGAUUUAGAAUUGCCAGCUUUCUUAAGUAACUGCUCUAAGAGGGGCUUCAGAGGCCUAUCUGCCUAUUACCAGGUUUUGGCUGGAAGAAAAAGUAAAUUCUGGGAGCAUUGAGAUUUCUCAGGAAGGCACUUCAAAGGGGGCUGGAGUCAUCCUAGGCCCAUGGCUUGAGGCUGAGGGAAGCAUGCUAGAGUUUAACAAGUCUCUUAGUGUAAGAUUUGGAAGGAAUAUUAUGUGCUGAGAGUUCUGCUGUUCUCAGGACACAGCCAUUUAAACACAGGUUUCACAAAUUCAGUUCCAAAAAGGAGGUACAAAGUGUAACUCGACAGGUGGAUAAAGUUUAGACCAGUGCCCCCAACUGGUUACCAAUAGGAGUCUACCAAGCAGUUACCCCGGGAGCCUCAUGGAGAACCACGUCUGCUACAAACCUACUGAAGCGCAGACAGAGUGUCCUUUACUAAUCUGUGUUUUUCAUCUCUCUUUUUCAUGUUUCUUCCAUCCCUCUUUUGCUCUCUCUCUUCCUUUCUUACAUGAAUAUAAUGAUUGCAAAUAUGUUAUACCAUUUCUCUCCAUCUUUCUCCUCUUGGGGAUUUCAAUCCAGACUGUUUUUAUUCAUUUUACAUUUUAGGUGAAGAUUUCUUGACUCCCUUGUUAUCUCUUUUGCUCCUUCAGUGAAUCUUUAUCAAGUGCUGGCUGUGUCCCAGGCAGUGUUCUAGGGCAGAUGAUGUGGGAUAUAUUGGGUUAUCAGAGAAGAUCUCUUUUAUUAUGUGUCAUUUGAGUAGGGGCCAGAAUAACAAGAAUGAACCAGUCAUAUGAUGAUCCUGGAAAGGAAAGUAAGGGCUUAGGUGCUGGGCCAAGGGGUUGAUUGGAAUGUUUCAGAAAAAAAAAAGGAAAGAAGGCAGAACUGGGAAAUUCGUCAGGUGCAGAUCGUGUAAGUGCUUAUGCACCAGUGUAUGAGUCCGCAAGAGCUGUCGUAACACAAUACCACAGACUGGAUGGCUUAAACAACAGAAAUUUAUUUCUCACAGUUCUGGAGGCUGGAAGUCUAAGAUCAAGGUGUCGGCAGGUUUGGUUUCUCGUGAGGCCUCUCUCCUCGGCUUGCAGAUGGCCGCCUUCUUGAUGUGUCCUCUCAUGGCCUGUUCUCUGGGCAUACACAUCCCUGGUUUCUCUUCUUAUAGGGACAUCAGUCAUAUUGCAUUAGGGUCCCACCCUUAUGACCUCCUUUAACCUUAAUUACAUCUUUAAAGGCCCUAUCUUCAAAUAUAGCCACAUUCUAAAGUAUUGGGAGUUACAGUUUCAACAUAGGAAUUCAGGGAGAACAUAAUUCAGUUCAUAACCACCAGGAUUAAGGAGUUGGGUUGAAUUCUAAGUGUCAUGGGAGGCCAUGGUAGGAUUUCAUAUGGGGUGAGUGGCUCUUCCAUGUGAUUUGUUCAUCUUAUACUCUGAGUUGGAGCUUGGAGGUGAGUAUUACUGUCACCAGACAUGAACCCUAACCUGCUUCUCUUGUCCUGCUUAAAAAUAUAACUUUUAUGUUUGACCUAAUUCUCUUGUCUUCCUGAAAGGUGCAGGUGUUCCUUUAUGUAACACCUUGGGGCCUUGAGCUUAGGCAGUUUUCAGCUACAUUCCGAGAAGAAGCUCUAAGUGAGAACCAUCAUGGACCCAGCUGUGCUGAACCAGAUCAGGCCAGCCCAGACCACAGCCACAAGACUGGCACCUGCACAGAUAGGCCGAGAGUUGUACUGAAAUAACCUGCCCUCAUUAACAUGGUAAAAUCCCCUCCUUGGAGAAGGAGAAAGCAGUCAUUUUUAGGUCAUGCGAUGUAUGUAGAAGCAUGCCCUUAAACCAUGCAUGCGCAAGCUUAUGCCCCCCGCUACAUGAGAUGAUGGAACUCUCCCUUUGAAUAUUCAUCCCCUACCUGAAUAAAGAUACCUACCUCCCUGUGCAUGGGGGACCAUAGCUUUCUGACAUUAUUCCCUAUAGUCUCCACCUUUUUCUUUGCUGCCUGCCGUAAAUAAAAACUCGACUUUGUGAAGUAGCACCAGCUACUUCUGGUGCAGUUUGAUUUAAUUCCCAAGAAGGGACCCACAUUUGGUCCAGUAACAUUAUUAUGUAUCCACUUUUCUGAUAUGUGAUGUUUGGGCAUAGGGCAGGGAGAAUUCGGCAGGGAAUACACAGCCUUUGUUGGAGAAACCAGGGUUCCAUCCUCUCUUUCGAGCUUGUGUUAAGUAGAAUCUACAAAAGUUCUCUCCACCAAGCCUGAAAUAUAUUUUAGUCCCAUGGUGUAGGAAUUGUGCAAUUCAGCUUAGAAGCCCAAAGCUCUGAAUGUUCAGUCUGCUUCAUCAGACUGUCUACUGACUGACACAGCUCCAGUAUUCAGCAGAAGCAAAAAUAAGGAGGAUUUCUCUGGAGUGGUUGGGUGAAGGUCAAGUGACUUUGGACUCCCAGUGUACUUCUCCACCCCUACUGCCAGUCCUCUACUCCCUUACAGAGUUUUGUAGUUUCUGUGCCCUCCAUUUAUUGCUUAGAAUAAUUAUCCAGAUAAAGCUGUGAUGAUUUUACUCCUUCCACCUUUCUUUCAGUCUGAGGAGACAAUCUGGAUGGGGGUUGUCUUCUGGAACUUUUUCCUGCUUCAACUGAAGUCCCAUUGUGAUGGUUUUCUUCACAGUUUUCUCUGAAUGCAGGCUCUGUCCCUCAGUGUGUCUUGUUCUACAUUUGUGAAUGCUAGUGAAUAUUCUCGAGAUCUUCCAA
This is a long non-coding RNA of Equus caballus (horse), 2820 nucleotides long. The record is from Ensembl. Lineage: Eukaryota; Metazoa; Chordata; Mammalia; Perissodactyla; Equidae.